This is a long non-coding RNA of Cavia porcellus (domestic guinea pig), 992 nucleotides long. RefSeq lists it as uncharacterized. Lineage: Eukaryota; Metazoa; Chordata; Mammalia; Rodentia; Caviidae. The transcript is spliced from 4 exons. The record is from RefSeq and is a predicted model, not a curated record.
UUCCAACGGGUCUUUCUCCAGCCCGCCGAAGUGGGGGAGGGGCGCAGCGGCCGUCCUUCCUUCUGGAAACGGUCUGGGGCUCGGGAUCCGGCUGAGGCGCCCUCCUCCGGCCCUGGCCCUCCGGGCAAGUUGGGCGCGGCCCUCCUCUGCCUCCCUACACCUCUCCUCGCCUCGCUGCUCUCGCCCUUCCCGCAGCAGCUGGAGUUGAGCGGCCCCGGGGUGGCGGACCAGGAGCACGGGUUUCCGAGGAGAUGGAGAAAGCGGAAGCCUUGGCCGGGGACGCUGCUCAGCUCACGGCGCCUGCCGGCCAGCGCAAACUCAUAAAUUCGAUCCCCGGAAUGGAACUCAAGACCAUGUGCUUGUAAAGCAGGCCCUUAUGCAGCUGAGCUAAAUCCCUGAUUGCAGUCUGGAUUAGAAAAUCAACUGAAGGCCAGCCUGAGCAGCAUAGCAAGACCCUGUGUCGAAAAAGACCAAAAAAAAAUUGAUGCAUCUUCUCAGGAGAGUGUUCUCGGCUUGAGCUGUGGAACCAUUAAUGAAUGUUUGAUGAGAAAUGGGUUGUGCACCGGGGCCCCUGAAAUCCAAAGAGCUCUGCAUUCAGCAGCACAUAAAAUGCUGUGAUUUUGCUGUGAGUGAAUAACCUGAGUGAUAGCUGCUGCCAGGGCAGCCCCCGCACAGAGGAGGGGCCAGUGUCUUCACGGAUUGGAAUCAUCUCAGCCAGUGUACCCCAUUUUUUGUGGGCUCUUAAAGCCUUAAACACCAUUUAUUUGUAUUUUCAAAGGCCAACUAUUGACAAAUUAAAGCGCCUGCCUUGCAAGCCGGCGGUCGUCAGUACUGAUAAAAAUGAAAAAGACAAAAAUAAAUAAAUAAAUAAAUAAAUAAAAUCAUGCAGAGGGAAGUCCUUUGUGGUCCUCCCAACACACUCACAACCAUUAAUGUGCUCCCUGAUGCAAGUCCAAAAAAAUAAAUACAGUAGUCAGAACUACAACAAGCAA